GUUGCCUGAAAAGCAUACUCUCUGAACUUCAUCUUUGCGGACCGCACAAAAUGGUGUGCGGCCGCACUGGCCCUGUUUGACUGAGCUUGGUCUUGUCUUGGUACUUGUGCAUGCUUCAUUCCUUUUUGAGCUGAUUUUUGACACAUUGUCACCUUGUUGAUCAAACCUUGCAAUCAAGUCCAACUUGUGAGCCUUUGGGAGUAUUUUGUACACAUUUCUAAUCAAAACUUAAGCAAGAAGGAUUGUAAAAUGCAUCAUAAUCCCUAGUUAUCAGAGAUUAGUGUCAUGAGUAAGAGGUUUGUGUAUUGACUUGCGGAUCGUUGAUUUACUUUGCAGCAUUUGUAUGGCCGGUGGUAUGGAUGUGCAGACUUGUUACCUGGUGCAGAAGGCCAUGAGAGCAUAUCCCACGGAAAGCUUGUAUAAGUGUGACGUGUAGUCACUUAAUUGAUUGAGGAUUUAAACCAAGUAUGGAGAUUGUAGUACUAGCGCUAAUUGAGAAUUUAUGCCUGAAGGGCGCUUGGUUCAUUUAGUUGUGGAAUGUGGAAGGUUGUUCCGGAUUAGACGGUUGUUCUUGUGUGUUAUGGGAAAAAGGGGGUUAUGGACCCAAGAAAGAUUAUUGGCCUAGUUUAGUACGAUCAUAAUCGGCUUGAGGUUUGUGAAUGAAAUUAAAUAUAAAUAUGGGCUCUAUAUCUGGCCGGAUAUGUUCAUUUCAGCAUAGCCCUCCUUAUGGAGGAGUAUAUGGAUGUUGGAUGUUAUUUUACCGUCGGCUAUUUUAUGUAAUGCUAUAUUGUGCCGUGUGAGUUGCGAAAUGGCUUGAUAAAUUUCUUGUGUGUUGAGGUUCCGCGUAGUGAUGGUAUUAUGUGAGUAGGAUGGAUCUUGAGAUUCAGGUCAUAUAUCGCACUUCAGUUAUGCUUGAGUUUUGUAGCUUAUGGCACUAUCUGUCUCCCUGGGGAUGGUAUUAUGCAAUUAGCGUGCUUGUGGCCGAUAUUCGUUAUUUUGUAGUAAUAAGCGAUUUUGCUCGGUGUGUAUCUUCUUAUAUGAAUUUUAUGUAUGGAUCGGGUGGCAUACCGCCAUAGGUAUGUUGUUUGGAUCGGGUUGCACACCGCGACAAUAUGAUGUUUAGUACAGUUCCCUAUAUAUAUUUUUGUGUGUUUUGUUUCCCAUUUUCUGAGGAAAGUUCAUAUUAGUUGCGUGAGUUGAGUAGUCCCUUCCAGGGUCCGUUUUCAUUAUGUAUCACGUUCGAGCUUGUGGCCUAUUGGCACGUUGUGGCAUCAUAUGGGACUUUUGAUCAUGAUCGGGGUGGCUUAUUGCCUGAGCAGUUUGUAUUGGGUGAGACAUGAUUAUUGGAUCUAGGAUCAGUGCAGUCAGAUUAUAUGAAGUAUAUUAAAGAGCAAAGAUCAUUAUUUGGUUCAGAAUGGGAUAAUGGUUCUUGUCAGAAGUAAAGACUCAAUGAUUUGUUGACUCGGCAGUUGGUUAUGAAUUUUUAUACAUCUCUUUCGUUGUGGCAGUAUCGCGAGAGUUGGAACAAGACUUAUAUAUAACAUGAGCUGCAUUGUGAGCAUCAGAUUCGGGAAAUGUCGGUUAUUAUGAUCAGAGAAUGUUAUAAUGGUCCUAUGAAUGAUGUGGUGCAUGGUGAGAAUUCAGCAAAGACAGGUAGUCAUGUUCGGGUACCUCGUGUAGUGAUUGAUACGGUUUUCAUAUAUUGGAAGCAGGCCUGGUAGAGAAUUUUGGAUGUUGGAAUUGGGCUCUAAGAUUAUUUGCUUGAAUAAAAGGGAAUAUCUUCAGAAUUAAUCGAGCUAAUAUGCUCAACUGGGUUGUAGUAGCACGGGUAGGUGCACGAGGUAUUAAACAAUGAUUUCAGACUACUUCGGUAUAGUUCUCAACACGUUCGAGGACGAAUGUAUGUUUAAGUGGGAGAGAAUGUAAUGACCAGAUCGGUCGUUUUAAGCUCUGGCGCGUCGUUUAGUAGUUUGAGGCCAUCAGCAGCUUCACUUUAGGUAUUAUGACUUGUACGCAUGGUCGGAAUUGAAUUUCGGGAAGUUGGGAGUUUAUUCGAAAAGAAAAUUCUCAUUUCGGAAGCUUCAAGUUGAAAGAAUUGACUAAAAUUAGAUUUUUGAGAAAACGACCUCGGAAUCGAGAUUCGAAGGUUCUAGCAGGUUCGUAUGAUGAUUUUGGACUUGGACGUAUGUCCGGAUCGGGUUUUGGAAGACCCGGAAACAUUUUGGCAUUUAUUGUGGAAGUUAGCAUUUUUAGAAGAAUUUAAUAAGUUUGGGUUGAAGUAUAUUUCAGUGUUAUCAAUGUCCGUUUGGGAUUCCGAGUCUGGGACUACUCCGUAUGGUGAUUCUGGUGUUGGGAGCGCGAUCGAAAGUGAAUUCGGAGGUCCGUGGGUCAUUUUGGAGUCAUUUGGCUAAAGAUAUAAAUUUGAAGGUAUUUGAGAAGUUUGACAGGGAGUGGACUUUUUGAUAUCGGGGUCGGAUUCCAAUUGUGGAAGUUGGAGUAGGUCCGUAAUGUCGAAUGUGACUUGUGUGCAAAAUUUAAUGUCAAUCAGACGUGAUUUGAUAUAUUUCAGCAUCGAAUGUAGAAAUUGGAAUUUCUUAGUUUCAUUAGACUCGAAUUGAGGUGUGAUUCGUGUUUUUAGCGUUGUUUGAUGUGAUUUGAGGCCUUUUCUAAGUACGUGACACGUUUUGAGACUUGUUGGUAUGUUCGGAUGGGGUCCCGAGGGGAUCGGGUGAGUUUCGAGGCGGUUUCAGACCAUUUCUAGGCCAUUUGUAGCUACUGGUUUUUGGCUACAACAAUAUGCUAUGCGAUCGCGGGGAAUUGGUCGCGAUCGCGAUGAGUAAAGUGGGAGAAAAUGGCCAGUUAUCCGCGAUCGCGGAAGGCCUUUCACGAUCGCGUUGAGGAAAGUUUUUGCCACACUGACCCUUCUUUGGAAGCUUUUAUAUCGCAAUCUAUAUGGAAUUUGGAGAUGAUCCAAAAUAGAAAGUUGUAGUCCUUGCAGUCUAGUUUUCAAAAGGUUAAACCAUUUGCAAUUUGGAGUUUUGUACAAAAAGUUAUGGCAAUUAUACUAGAGACUAUAGAGGAAGAGCUGGGCAUUUGUUCUUCGCGAUCGCGAUGCCUUUUCCGCGAUCGCGAAGGGCAAAUUUUGGACUGAGAAAUGUUGUGCUUCACGAUUGCGAAGCAUUUUCCGCAAUCGCGAAGAGUAAAUACCUGGGCAGAAGCUAUAUUUCGAGGUUUCAGCCAUUUUUAACAUAUUUGGAGCUAUGAAGCUCGGAUUGAAGCAAUUUUUUAGGCGAUUUUCACCAUAUGGAUUGGGAUAAGUGUUUUAUAUCCAAAAGUAAGUAUACUUCAUGAUUCUAUGGUUAUAUUCAUCAUUUAUUUCAGAUUUAAAUGGAAGAAAUCGAGAUUUUUGCAAAACUUUUCAAGAACGAAAAUUCAAGAUUUGGAGGUCAAGUUGUUAUAGGAAUUUGAUAAAAUUGGUAUGGUUGAACUCGUAUAGGAAUGGGUUGUCAGAUUUUGUGAGUUUUUUUCGGAAUCGGGGCAUGUGGGCCUGAGGGCGAUUUUGUCAACUUUUCGAACGGUGUUAGGAAUUUAUCUAAAUUGAAUUGUUAUGAGUAUUAGAGCAUGUGUUUAUGGAUUUUCUCACUUAUUGGAUAGUUUUAGAGCGUUGUUCAUCGAUUUGAGUCGUCGGAAGGGCUUGGAAGCCGAUUUUGGAACUUCGGAGCGAGAUGAGUCUCCUUUCUAACCUUGUAAGAGGGAAUUGUCCCCCUAGGUGAAUUUAUUGGAUUUGUGCUCCUAUUUGUGGGGGCUAUAUACGCACGAGGUGACGAGAGUCCGUGCGUAGCUACUAUUAUAUUUAAGUUCGGGUAGUCUAGGACCCAAAAGCAUGCUAUACUCAGAAUAUUUGUAAUUGUAUUGACAGUUUGAAUUGCUUAAAUCAUAUCGAAUUAGUAAAUGAAUUUCUAAAAAGAUUAAACUUUAUUUUCUUGAAUUGUUAAAAGAGAAUUGGCUUUUCUUUGGAUAAUUGUUCCCUGAUGAAUUCUUGAUUAACUGCUUGUUGUGUUUAUUUAUAUUUGACCGCGUCGCAUGUAUGAUUCACGAGCGGGGUAAUAGAUGCAUCUAUGGUUCGCGUCAUUCGACCCUCUGGCAGUGCACAAUUUAAAUAUUGUUGGAUCGGGUCGUACGACCUAGGCAUGAUUUGCGCAUGCUUGUAUUGAUUGCCUUGAUAUUUAUAGAUAUUGAUAUUUGCUCUCCCUGACUAGAGAUAAAUUGAUAAUUAAUAGAUUAUGAAUUCGGAGACUUUUUAAUAUAAAAAGGAACGUUUACCUGUUUCGUGACUUAUUUGAAUUUACUAUCGUUCUUAAUAAAUCCAUGAUUAUUUGUAUUAAUAACAUAUUACUAUUGGACCACUAGUAAGUGUCAAAGUCAACCUCUCGUCUCUACUUCUUCGAGAUUAGACGGGAUACCCACUGGGUACACGUUGUUUUCGUACUCAUACUGCACUUGCUGUGCAUUUUUGUUGCACAGGUUCUUGUGUGGUUAGUGGCCUAGUGGCAUAGCAGCAUGGUUGAUAUAGAGACUUAGGUGAGCUGCAUUUGUCGAGACGACCCGCAGCUAGCAAAGUUCCUUCAGAGUAGUGUAGUGUACUUUCAUUUCUGUCCACUUUGUAUUCCGGACAGUUACUGUAUUUUAUUUUAUUCCUAGUAGAUGCUCAUGCACUUGUGACACCGGGUUCUGGGAUGAUUAUUGGGUAUCUUGUAUUUACGUCUAAACAUUUUUUAUUUACAUUGUAAAGAUUAUCUUUAACUAGUAAAAUUGAAGGAAAAAUCAUAGUUUGUAAAAUUAUUAAAACGAGAAUUUAAUUAAAUAUGUUGGUUGGCUUGCCUGACAACAGUGUCCGGUGCCAUCACGACCCUUAGUGGCUUUUGGGUCGUGACAUUGAUGGGGGUUCAAGCCUCAAUAUUCGUCUGUUGGAUACUCUGAAAAGACUGGGCAAAGGUUUCCAUGAGAUACGGGCAGGAAGCAUGAAUGUAAAAGCCUUCGAUGGGUCUCAAAGGGCCACGAUUGGGGAGUUUAAUCUUUGUCUGUAGAUGGGGCCAACUUGGUUCGACGUUGAAUUCCAAGUUCUUGACAUAUCAGCUUCAUACAAUCUUCUAUUGGGCCGACCAUGGAUACAUGCUGCUAGGGUUGUGGCUUCCACACUACACCAAGCUGUGAAAUUCGAAUGGAACCAUUAGGAGGUGAUCAUUCACGGGAACGGAAGUAACCUCAUCUACACCAGUCAAACCAUCCCGGUCAUCGGGAAUAGAAGAAGACUGGGAGGGGAAACCUAUCAUCACAUCGGACGUGUCAAUGCCAUUGAGAAAGACAAAUGGUGGAGUAACAAAAUAGAAAGCAUACUGACAUGGUCUGGGUAUGAACCCAGCAAAGGGCAUGGGAAGAAUCUCCAGUAUGUUACCAAACCAAUACAGCUGAAACGGCAUGGUACUACCUUCAGGCUCGGAUACCAGUAUACAUGGCAAGAGUAUGAUGAUUGGUCGCCUCCAUGGUGUUGGAAUUAUUACCCUCUCGAGCAACCAGUGCCACAUUUGGGUCAAACUUUUCACCAAGCCGAUACAAUAUGGGGAACUGUAGAAGAAGAAACAUUAGCUGGGCUGAGGAAUCUAUUCCUGGAGGAUAGGGACAUAGAUUGCAGUGCAAUAAUUUAGAAGGAGGAGGAAGAAGGCCUCACUAUUCAGACUAUGGAGAAGGGAGUUGUUCUCAGGAACUGGACUGCUACACCAUCUCGGGCGCGCCGAGUCCCUGGGUAGCUUGGCAUAUUUUAUUUCUCUAGCCAUUCUAGGCAUCUAAGAUUUUCAGUAAUUUUGUUUUAAAGACUUACUUGUUUCAAAAUAAAUGCUCGAUUCAUCGAGUCGUACUUGUUUGGAUGUUUCAAUUUUAAUCAAAUGCAUUGCUCUUAUUUAUUCAUUAUUAUCUUCCACACUUUUUCUUUCUACAACAUUAUUAUUACUUUUCCUGAUGAACCGGUGACUGUGACAUGUAAUGAGGCCACGCAAUAUAAGGAUAAUGAUUCGGACAAAGAAGAUGAAAUACCGGAGGAGGUUGUCAGGGAGCUUGAAAACUUCGAGAAUAAGCCUAAGUCCAACCUGGACGAAACCGAAGCAGUAAAUUUAGGGGACGCCGAGACCGUCAAGGAGACUCGCAUCAGCAUUCACUUAUCACCGAUAGAGAAAUAGGAGUACAAUCAUUUCUUAAAGGAGUAUGAGGACAUUUUCGCAUGGUCAUAUGAUGACAUGACCGGUUUGAGCACGUCCAUAGUGGCUCACAAGUUGCCUACCAAUCCCAUGUGCCCGCCGGUGAAGCAGAAACUCAGAAAAUUCAAACCAGAUAUGAGCCUCAAAAUCAAAGAGGAAGUUACUAAGUAGAUCAAAGCCAAAGUCCUCAGGGUGGUUGAGUACCCAACCUGGUUAGACAACAUUGUGCGAGUUCCGAAGAAAGAUGGAAAAGUCAAAGUAUGUGUUGACUAUCGAGACUUAAACAGAGCAAGUCCCAAGGAUGACUUUCCACUGCCAAAUAUACACAUCCUGAUCAACAAUUGCGCUAAGCAUGAACUCCAAUCCUUUGUAGUUUUAUUCGCGGGUUAUCACCAGAUCUGGAUGGACGAAAAAGAUGCAGAGAAAAUAGCUUUUAUUACAUUAUGGGGAGUAUACUGCUACAAGAUAAUGCCAUUUGGUCUAAAGAAUGCUGGGUCUACUUACAUGAGGGCCAGGACAACUAUAUUACAUGAUAUGAUACACAAAGAAAUAGAGGUGUAUGUGGACGAUGUCAUUAUCAAAUCCAAGAGGGCCGCGGAUAACAUAGCGGACUCUUUGAAAGGUUAAGGAGGUACAACUUGAAACUGAACCCCGCAAAGUGUGCAUUCGGGGUUCCCACAGAAAAGUUACUGGGAUUCAUCGUCAGUCGUCGAGGGAUCAAGCUGGACCCGUCUAAUGUUAAGGCUAUUGAGGAGUUACCGCCGCAUAGGAGCAAAAAGGAUGUGAUGAGCUUCCUAGGACGUCUCAACUAUAUCAGUCGCUUCAUAGCAUAGUCCACAGUUAUAUGUGAACCCAUAUUCAAAAUGCUGAGGAAAGAUGCCGAAACAAGCUGGACCGAGGAUUGUCAGAAAGCUUUUGACAAAAUCAAGAAGUAUCUGUCCACACCACUAGUCUUGGCCCUGCCAAAAUCGGGACGACCUUUGUUACUCUAUCUUUCUAUAUUGGAUGGAACUUUCAGAUGUGUUUUGGGACAAUACGACGAGACAGGGAGAAAGGAGCAAGUUAUAUACUACAUGAGUAAGAAAUUCACACCUUAUGAAGCAUGAUACUCUCUGCAGGAACGCACCUACUGUGCUUUGACCUGGACGGCCCAGAAAUUGAGGCAUUACUUCUGUGCCUAUACCACAUACCUCAUAUCCAAGAUGGACCCUCUAAAGGACAUCUUUCAGAAGCCCAUGCCGACAUGGAAGCUAGCCAAAUGGCAGAUACUAUUAAGUGAGUUCGACAUCAUCUAUGUAACUCAAAAGGAGAUCAAAGGACAAGCAUUGACAGACCAUCUUGCUGAAAAUCUUGUUGGAAGAGAAUACAAACCCUUGAAAACGUAUUUUCCUGAUGAAGAGGUGUCAUUCGUAGGAGAGGACAUUACCGAAGCGUACGACGGUUGGAGGAUGUUCUUUGAUAGAGCUGCGAAUUUCAAAAGAGUGGGCAUUGGAGCGGUUUUGGUAUCAGAAACAGGUCAACAUUACCUGGUAUUUGCUAAACUCAAAUUUCCCUACACCAAUAACAUGGCAGAGUAUGAAGCCUGUAUACUAGGGCUCAACAUAGCGAUCGACAUGAAUAUUCAGGAGCUGCUGGUAAUAGGUGAUUUAGAUUUGCUUGUGCACCAGGAGCAAGGAAAGUGGGCCACUAAAAAUUCCAAGAUAUUGCCAUAUUUGCACCAUGUACAGGAAUUGAGAAAGAGGUUCACAAAGAUAGAUUUUCGGCAUGUGCCCAGAAUUCAGAAUGAGUUCGCAGAUGCAUUGGCCACCUUGUCAUCUAUGAUACAGUAGCUAGAUAAGAAUUUCAUUGAUCCCAUCCCAGUGAAAGUUCAUAAUCAGCCGGCAUAUUGUGCCCAUAUCGAAGAGGAGACGGAGGAAAAACCUUGGUUUCACGACAUCAAAGAUUAUUUGGCUGAGGGAGAAUAUUCAGAGCAUGCGAACAAUACUCACAAACACACACUUCGGAGAUUGUUCAAUCAUUUCCUCCACAGUAGAGGAAACUUGUACAGAAGAACCCCUGAUUUGGGAUUGCUAAGAUGUGUCGACGCAAAAGAGGCUUCUAAGAUACUCGAAGAGAUACAUGUUGGGACCUGCGGCCUGCAUAUGAAUGGUUUCAUCUUGCACAAGAAGAUACUUAGGGCCGGUUACUUUUGGAUGACUAUGGAGAUAGAUUGUGUCCAGUAUGUCCGCAAAUGCUACCAAUGUCAAGUGCAUGCCGAUAGGAUAAAAGAGCCGCCAAAUGAACUCAAUGCCAUAAGCUCACCUUGUCCAUUCGCCGCCUGGGGAACGGAUGUCAUCGGUCCUAUCGAGCCCACUGCUGGGCACAUGUUUAUUCUAGUAGCCAUUGACUACUUCACAAAAUGGGUAGAGGCCGCAUCUUACAAACCUGUAACCAAGAAAGUUGUCGCGGACUUUGUCAAGGACCGUAUUGUUUGCCGAUUCGGAGUUCUCGAGUCCAUUGUUACUGAUAAUGCCGCCAAUCUUAACAGUGAUCUGAUGAAAACCAUGUGUGAAACUUUCAAAAUCAAGUACAAAAAUUCCACAACCUAUAGACCUCAGAUGAAUGGAGUCGUAGAAGCCGCCAACAAAAACAUCAAAAAGAUAGUAAGAAAGAUGGUAGAAAACCACAAAAAAUGGCACGAGAAACUACCCUUUGCUUUGUUAGGAUACUGCACUACUGUUCGCAUAUCAACCAGGGUAACUCCUUACAUACUGGUUUAUGGUACCGAAGCUGGUAUCCUACCGAGGUAGAGAUUCCUUCUUUAAGGAUCAAACGGGAAGCCGAGCUCAGCGAUGUAGAAUGGAUAAGGAGCCGCUAUGAGCAAUUGGCCCUUAUAGAUGGGAAAAGAAUGAACGUGGUAUGUCACAGUCAGCUUUAUCAGAACAGAAUGUCCAGAGCUUUCAACGAAAGGGUCAAACCAAGACAGUUCGCACCAGGACAGCUGGUGCUGAAAAAGAUCUUCCCGCAUCAAGAUGAAGCCAAAGAGAAAUUCUCUCCCAACUGGCAAAGUCCCUACAUGGUUCACAGGAUGCUAACAGGAGGAGCACUCAUACUUGCAGAAAUCGACGGAGAAAUUUGGCCAAAACCAAUCAAUUCAGACGCAGUCAAAAGAUACUAUGCUUAGAGUUUUCGCAUUCACAUGAUGUAAUUGAACUAUGCUUGACCUGAUUCCCAUUUCUGAGGGGAUACGUAGGAAGCCCUGUGGGUUCGGUCAUAUCAUAAUUGUGAUGACCCAAAAAGGUUAUCACUUGUUUUAGAAAUAAAUUUUGUAUUCUGAGGCCUUAAAAACUUAUUUUGUCUCAGCUCAAUUUGCGUGCGCAGUCCGUGCGCAUAGUCGAAAAGCCAUUUUGUGAAAAUAUGAGAAAUAGGAAUUUCUAGAGUUAAAAAUAUUUAUUAUGAUUGACUUUGGUCAAAAUUUUCAGCAAACAGACCCGGAUCUAUGUUCCAACAAUCCUGGGAGGUCCGCAGUAAAAUAUGGGACUUGGGCGUAUGCCCGAAAAUGAAUUUUGAGGUCCCAAACCUUAGAAAUCAAUUUUUGAAAGAAAUUAUUUUGCUAAAUUAUUUAUGAAAUAAAGAAAAGAAUUAAUGUUUGAAACCAUUGGUAUCAGGCCCGUAUUUUGGUUCCGGAGCCCGGUACAAAGUUUUUAAAGUAUUCAAAUGAUAAUGGUAGUGACACAUAAUUCCUGACCCAUUUUUGGGUCUUUCAGUUGUGUUAGUACUAGUCGACUCAGUUCUGGCUGGCCCUUUUCCAAUUGACUUGUAAGUUGUCUGGUUUGACCUGAUAGAAUUGUGAUUGGCGGAUUUGUGCAUGCCAUUGAGUUUCAUUUGCAAUUCCUCAAAACUUCUUAUUCGAUUUCACAUACUUCAUGUUUGAGUUUCCAGGCUUUUACUUCUUUGUUGAGUCUCUUUAGCAUCCAUCAUUUUUUGAGACUCUUUCGAACUAAGAUCAAGAAUAUCCUGCAAUUCAUUACAUCUUUCACAAUUAUAAGACCUUACCUCGCUUGCUUCACCUCGAGCCAUGAAGCGGUUUUCAUUGUUAUCUUUGCAUUCAUCGUCUGAAAUAUCCUCGUCUGUCCAACAUCCUGAAAGUUUGUUCAUAUCAUUUUCCAGAAUUGUCAUGAAGCAAAGAUUUGCUACUUCUUCGUGUUCUGAACUGUCUUCAUCACUCCAGCUUCCAAAUGAUUUGUUUUUGUUGAAACCUCUGGAGAUUUUUCCUUUUAGAUCUGGACAUUUAGCUUGAAUAUGUCCAAAUCUUCCACACUCAUAGCAUUUUACAUCACUCUUAUCUUGUUCAUUGUAUUGCCUGGUUCACCUAGGUGGAAUCCUUCCUCUUCUCAUGUUCCUUAUUCUUCUCAUUAAGCCAUCCAUGUUUCUUGACAUCAUAGUAAUUUCUUCUUAGAGAGCUUUAGGAUCAUCAUUGAUAUCAUUCUCAGUUAUCUCAGUUGUGGCCUUGAACGCAACUGUUUUCUUCUUUUCUUCUUGGUUUGUUUUCUUGAGAUGCAUCUUUUCGAAGGCUAUGAGUUCUCCACGAAGUUCAUCAUAAGAUAAUUUAUUCAGAUCCUAUGAUUCAAGUGUGACUACUUUAGUUUGCCAAGUGGUUGGUAAACUUCUAAGAAUCUUUCUAACUUGAUCACCGCUUGAGUAUGGUUUGCCGAAAGCUUUUAAGUUGCUAAUGGUUUUACUGAAUCUGGCAAACAUUUCCUCAAUGGAUUCUCCUUCUUUCAUCUGGAAGAGUUCAUAAUCGUGAACCAACAUGUUGAUAUGUGUUUCCUUCACUUUGAUGGUUCCUUCGUAUGUAACUUUAAGCUUAUCCCAUAUUUCUUUGGUUGUAUCACAGCUAGAGAUUUUCUCAUAUUCUUCACCACUUAUAGAAUUGUAGAGCAAAUUUCUUGCUUUGUUGUUGACUUGCACAACUGCCAUUUGCUCAUCUGUAUAUGAAUCUAUAUCUUCAGGAUCAGCAAGAGGUUAAGCAGCAGUCGAUAGAGGAUAAUUUCCCUUUUUGAUGACUCUCCACAAUUUAACAUCAUAUGCCUUAGCAUAUAUUUCCAUACGUACUUUCCACUGGGAGAAAUACUGUCCAUUGAAGUAAAGUGGCCUUACUUGGGAAGUACCUUCUUGAAAAAGUGUUCAUAUGAUAACUUGAUUAGCCAUGAUCUUUUCUCACAAGCUGUGAAGAAAAAAGAAAAGUGUGAGCCUUGCUCUGAUACCAAUUGAAAGUACAAGAGGAGGUGAAUUGUUUAUUUUUAAACUUAAUAGCUAGUAGUUGACUAGUUUUACGAUUAGUAGACUGGAUGUAAGAACUUGAUACUAGAAAAGACAGAAAUUAAGAUGCAAAAUUUAAAUGAAGAAUUAAAGACACCAAAGUUUUUAUACUGGUUCGGAUUCAAUGUUGAUGGGUUUUCAAUGUCUUUGCCUUAUGCUUCUUAUUUUUUGAUUAUCUAACAAACUUAUUGUUAAGAACCAGAUAGAGAACCCGACUCACUUGGUACACAUCUUAAAUGAACAAAGUCCAUUCUGAUCUCCAGCAAAUGAUCUACUACAAAGAGGAACACAACAUGGACCUGAUCCCUUGGUGUUCUCUGACAGAAGUACAAGUCAACAACAGUUGGAACACAAAUGCAGAAAGUGAUUGUAUGCAGAAAGUAAUUGUCUGCAUAUUGUACACGCGAUAGUGUAGCAGAUAGUGCGGAAGUCACUUCUCAUUGGGAAGAAGAGUGUAUCAAGAAUUGACAUCACCAUUGUGAUGUCUUUUGUAGUAUAACAACCUGGUGCAAGGCACAAUAUAUUUACUUGAGCAUUUAGUGAUAUUCUCUCAAGCAGAAAAGUGUUCAUCCAGCAUUGCAGUUACAAGUGUGUCAAGAACAAGAAGACAACUCCACUAAAGGAUCAGUUUCACAAUGAGUCUAUGAGUAUCCAUAGUUGAGUUGUAAACUUGUUAUUUAUUCUUAAUUGUAACUCCUAUCUUGCUUUCCUAGAAGCUGUGUUUUAGGAAACCUAAAAAAUCUGUAAACUCUCUGAAUUUAUAUUGUGACUAGGUUUAGUCAUAAGUUAAAGUCUUUGUAACUAGAGAGUGACAAAGUGGCUUGUGGUAAAAGUAUCACAAGUUAGUUAAGUUGAAAUCUUUGUAAUAGAGUCAUUACAAAGUCGCUUGUAAUAGUUAGAUUACAAGUUAGUGAAGUUGAAAGCCUACAAGUGUAGGUCGUGAUUUUUGUCCCCUUGAGUAGUAUUUUUCCAUAUAAAACUCAUGUGUCUCUUUUACUUAUCGCUUAAUAAGUAUUCUCAGCAAAAACUCAUAGAGGAUCAGGUGCUCUAUAGUUUGGUGGACUCAUAUAAGCUAUCAAUUGGUAUGAGAGCGGGUUCUUUCUAAAAGGUUAACACCUAGAAAGGAUCUCAAUGGCUGCUCCACCCAACUUUGAGGAAGGACAAUCAAACUACAAACCUCCAAGAUUAAAUGGUCAGUACUACGGCUGGUGGAAGACUCAUAUGCAUGAUUUUAUAAUGGUCGAAGAUUCAGAACUAUGGGAUAUCAUCUGUGAUGGUCUACAUGUUCCUAUGAAGAAGCUUGGAGAAACUGGACCAAUGGUGCCGAAAAACAGAAAGGAGUACAGUGAUAUUGAUAGAAAAGUCAUAGAAAAGAACUAUCGCGCCAAGAAAAUCUUGGUAUGUGGUAUAGGACCUGAUGAGUAAAACAGAGUCUCGGCUUGUGAUUCUGCCAAAGAAAUAUAGGAAACAUUGCAAACCUCACACGAAGGAACUACUCAGGUUAAGCAGUCCAAGAUUGACAUGCUCACCACUGAGUAUGAACUCUUUAGGAUGAAGGAUGAUGAGUCUAUACGGGAUAUGCACACUAGAUUCACAUCCACCAUAAAUGAGCUUCAUUCACUUGGAGAUGUUAUUCCCAAAAACAAGCUUGUAAGGAAAAUUCUCAGUGUUCUACCUGGUUCUUGGGAGAGUAAGGUAAAUGUCAUCACUGAAGCUAAAGAUCUACCAACUCUAACCAUAGAUGAGCUGAUUGGAAAUCUGAAGACAUACGAGAUGAAAAGAAAGAAAGACAGUGAAAGGAGAGAACCAAAGAAGGAAAAGAACCUGGUACUCAAGGUUGAAAAUAGUGACUCAAGUGAAGAAGAUAGUGAUAUGGCCUAUCUUACUAAAAGGUUUCAAAAGAUGGUUUGAAGAAAUGGUGGUAUAUCAAAGAGAGGCAGUUCAAGUAAGGCUAGGAACAUUGAUCACUAUCACAUGUGCGGAAAGCUGGGGUAUUUCAUCAAAGACUGUCCACUUCUGAAACAGGAGCAAUACAAAUAAAACCCUAACAAAGUAGUAAAAAGGAACACGGCUCCAGAAAAAUGAUUCAGUCGAAAAAGUGCAGCUGAAAAUAUUGCGAAACAAGCUCUUGCUCCUUGGAGAGACUCCUCUAGUGAAUCAGAAAGGGAACCAGAUGCAGAAAACAACUCCAUGAUGCCAGUGGAAACUGAAGCAAUGAAAUAUGACUCACUGUUCGCGCUGAUGGCUCAGUUUGACGAUGAUGAAGAGGAUGAAAAUGAUGAGGUAAAUUUCAGGGACGUUUAGAGAAAUCUGAAAUCUUACUCUUCUAAGAAGUUAAAAUCUUUAGCAAAUAUUCUAAUUGAUGCAUAUUAUAGCCUUGAUAAUGAUAAGGAAACUCUAACCAUAGAACUAGGAGAAGCUGAACAAUCUAGAGAUGAUCUGGUGGUAUUUGUAGUGGACCUAAAUGAGACCAUAGCUAAUCAUGAAAAGGAAAAGAAAGUUUUGAAUGAAAAAUAAAUAGUAUAAAAAAUGAGAGAGAUGAGCUUUAGGUAGUGGUAGUUGAUUUGAAGGAAACCAUAGAAGGUCUUAGCAAUGAGAAACACACUCUAGAAUAUAAAAUUGUAGCUACUGAUCAAGAGAGGGAUGGCUUUUGGUAAUAAUCACUGACCUAGAGAAAACUAUUGAGGGACUCAAUUCAGAACAUAGGACUGUGAGUCUUGGGGAAGGGAAAGAAGUAGCUAGUGAGACACGCAUCAAGCCUGAGAAGGAAUUAAAUGAUGUGAAAACUAGUCUAUGUGGUGACUUGAGAAAAAUAGACAACUUAAAGCUAAAUUGGAGAGAAAAAAAAUUGAUCUUGAGAAAUCUUUGAAGUGGACCUGGUCGUUAGAUGUUGUCACUGCCAUAUACUUCAACAAUAGUGGAAACAGGCAAUGAAUCGGGUUCCAAAAGGAGAAAACUCCCUACAACCCUCAUAGCAAGUACGUCACUGUGGGAACAAUGAGCACUUCAAAGAAAACUGUCAGGCUAGGGUUCAAUCUGUUCAGAAAAAUAAAGUGUUUACUGAAAAAGUGACUACUAAAAAGGGACCAGGUACCGCUCGCAAGAAACGAAUAUUGCCUGCAUGGACUAGAAAAGCUCUCAUCUAUCCCUUUUCUCAUAACAAGGGACCCAAACUAGUUUGGGUUCCUAAAUCUAACCCAUGAUUUAUAUGUGCAGGGAACAGUGAGAAGAAGUGCACUGCAAUGGUUCACGAACAGUGGAUGCUAAAAACAUCAUGGACUGUCUCUCGCUAAAAGCCCUGCAGAAAAGAGAAUGUAUCAUGUAUAUGUAUAAAAAAAAGGAAAAGGAAAGGGGGAUACAUUCUCAAUGUUGAAAAGAUGGAAAGUAUGUGUCACACUCAAUUGACAAUAUGUGCUGUCACACCUCCUUUUUACCAUCCGAGGUGGUAUAUAAGGGAGUUUUUCAAUUAAAGUGACAUUAUUCGAAAUUGGAUUAUUUUAUUUAAUUUCAGAGUCGCCACUUGGAAUAGUUUGUUUGGUGUCUCAAGUCACCAGUUUAUUUUAAAUCCCAAAUUGAGGAGAAUUUUGACUUUAUUUAAAAGUUUGCGAAACCAAAAAUUCUAGAUAAGAAAUUCUGUUAACCCGGAAGAAGGUGUUAAGCAUUCCCGGGUUACGUGGUUUGAGCACAGUCACUUAAACUAUUAAUAAUUGGCUUAUUAUCUGAUUUACUACAUGUUUUAAACAUAUUCUGCAUUUUUAACUUUAUUACUGCUUUUUAAUUAUUUUAACCGCUUUUAGGAUUUAUGGAAUUAUUUCUUGAACAAGUUACGAUUGUCGUGCACUUGCCAUUUUGGAACACACCGCAAACCAUGCUACAUGAAAUGCACCCGCGAUCCAUGACAUGUUUAUUUUAUUAUUGUUCGAAGUUGUUAUGAUCAAGUCACAUGAAAUGCACACCCGAAUUUGGGAAUUAGGUGCCAUAACUAUGUCACAGGAACCGUACCCAUAAUCACAAUGAUUUAUUAAUUAAUCGUGCCUAAAGCAAGUUACGAUGUUCAAGUAAUUCUAUUGGAUUUAAAAUUAUAGUAAGGCCAAGAGUUUAACAUAUGACAAAUAAUUCAAGAGUAAUAGCACAUAAAUUUUCAGAAAGCACUGAAAUAUAAAUCUUACUUAUAUAUACAUUAUCCGAAUUCUAGCCAAAUAUGAAACUAUAGUGGCUCUAAUCUCAACAACACAAAACUUCAUUAUCCGAAUUCUAGCCAUAGCAAAGUUUCUUAAUUUUGGACGAGCUUCAUAAACAUCAACUACGGUUUAUAUUUCAACUAAAGAAAUUGAAUUUCAGUCACUAAUACGCAAUUCUUGAAGAAAAUAAAAUAACGUUCAAAAGGGACUAUGUGAAUCUGCAAAAAGAGAAAAAAACAUUGCUAAUAAUUUAGAACACGUCCCAAUUAAAAUUUAUGAUUUAGAGAAUCGGGAUGUCAACAAAAUCAAGAAAAAAUACAAAAAAUUCAGAGAUUCAAUCAAAAUAGAAUAUCCAACAGUUAUAUAUCCCUUUUAUCAAAUCUAGGCUUGUGAAACUAACUAAAUUUUACUUAUACAAGCAAUUGUAAAACUCCUCACUUCAAAUUAUCCUUUCAACCCACAUGGAUAAGCAGAACUUUCUUAUUAAUAAUAUGAAAGGAGCACUGAGCACUUGACCUUAAAAAAAUUAACAGUGAUGAGAAAUAUACAUCCAGCUUAAUUAUUCAGUUUAAGCUAAACCAACCUGCAACUAGUAUCAAUCGAAAUUAGUUUAACCCUGUGAGAUCGAUUUUAACACGAGCCAUUAUUUUAGGAGAUGAAUCACUGUCAAACAUAAGCGUUUAACUCAUUUAAAAAUCUACUGAACAGUUUGAAUGUUCAAUGAAACAUGUUCACGGCAUCAGACAUUAAUCAUGAAAUGGAAUUUCAAGCAGAUUUAGAUAUUAACAGGCUGGAUCUAAGAAAACAACCACAAACUUGACAUGAACAAAUCAGAUUUCAUUCAUAAACAUCAAAAUAAAGGAUAACAGAUGAGUGUUCACAUACCUAUAACAGAAAAAUAGAUAACAACGACCAAAUAAAGGUUUGAAAAUGCAGGGAAUAAGCUCAACAGCACAUGAACAUCAGACUUGAUUCCAAAUUCCGAUUAAAACAGGUUGGAACCCCAUUUUUAGCUUGCGAAAUUCCCGGAUUUGAGAAUUAUAGAAAAGAGGAAAAGGUUUUCUUCUGUAUCGGUGUGUGUCUCUUUGAUGAAAUUGGACAAUGGUCUUAUUUUUAUUUUUAUUUUUUGAUGACUUCUUUUGCUUUCGAAUUUUGGUUAGCAGGAGAUGUCCGUUGUUUUCUUCUGCUUGGGAGGGGAUCUCUUCUUCUGUGUUGUGUAAGAAUGAAAAAAGAAGAAAGAAGAUGGAGGAGGGGUCUGCUUAGAGCUGAUGGAAACGGCGCUAGGUUGGGGUCUUCUCCUAGGUCUAAAAUCU
RNAcentral lists this long non-coding RNA (17046 nucleotides) under Nicotiana tabacum (common tobacco). RNAcentral's name for it is "long non-coding RNA (NTAB_LNC012320)". Lineage: Eukaryota; Viridiplantae; Streptophyta; Magnoliopsida; Solanales; Solanaceae. The record is from RNAcentral.